Coniochaeta pulveracea is the source of this 84-nucleotide non-coding RNA. Lineage: Eukaryota; Fungi; Ascomycota; Sordariomycetes; Coniochaetales; Coniochaetaceae. The record is from the annotation of a GenBank genome assembly.
GGCCAAAUGGUCUAGUCGUAUGAUUCCUGCUUUGGGUUAAAAUCCAUCUGCAGGAGGUCCCGGGUUCAAAUCCCGGUUUGGCCC